UUCUUUUCAGUCUGGUUGGAUUCCUCUUCAGCUUUUUGAUACUUUGAUCGUUUCUAUUUUUUUUAAAAAAAAAAAACUGGUUGGCCCCCUUGCAGAUACAACAGAUAGGAAGUGAAGAAGAACUGCCAAGAAACAGAGAAAAAUAGGUUCCCAAAACAAAAACAAAAAGAUGAAUCGAGAAACCCCUUUGAUCAGACGCCCUCAAGCUGCUCUGAUACCACUUAAUAGAUUCCUGGUUAAGGAACAACCCUAGGAUGCUCUUGAGGGUCGAUCUUGUGAUGAUUUGGUGGUGAUAGAUCAGGUUACUAACACUGAUGGGUUGAUGAUCGAUUAUAGAUUGAUAAAAGGGGAAAUAUGGUCGAUGGUAGAGAUGGUUUCAGUG
RNAcentral lists this long non-coding RNA (382 nucleotides) under Brassica napus (rape). RNAcentral describes it as "long non-coding RNA (BNAP_LNC017532)". Lineage: Eukaryota; Viridiplantae; Streptophyta; Magnoliopsida; Brassicales; Brassicaceae. The record is from RNAcentral.